This 447-nucleotide ribosomal RNA is filed under the name uncultured bacterium. Its description in RNAcentral is "bacterial SSU rRNA". It matches the Rfam family "Bacterial small subunit ribosomal RNA", at positions 330 to 793 of the family's 1533-position model. The record is from RNAcentral.
CCCAGACUCCUACGGGAGGCAGCAGUGGGGGAUAUUGCACAAUGGGGGGAACCCUGAUGCAGCGACGCCGCGUGGGUGAAGGAGCGUUUCGGCGCGUAAAGCCCUAUCGGCAGGGAAGGAGGAGGACGGUACCUGACUAAGAAGCCCCGGCUAACUACGUGCCAGCAGCCGCGGUAAUACGUAGGGGGCAAGCGUUAUCCGGAUUUACUGGGUGUAAAGGGGGCGCAGACGGCAGCGCAAGCCAGGAGUGAAAGCCCGGGGCCCAACCCCGGGACUGCUCUUGGAACUGCGCGGCUGGAGUGCAGGAGGGGCAGGCGGAAUUCCUGGUGUAGCGGUGAAAUGCGUAGAUAUCAGGAGGAACACCGGUGGCGAAGGCGGCCUGCUGGACUGCGACUGACGUUGAGGCCCGAAAGCGUGGGGAGCAAACAGGAUUAGAUACCCUAGUAC